UCUGACGUUUAUCCCUCCUUGCUCAUCUUAAUGUUUGCUCUUAUAUGACAUCAUCACAGCUAUGCAGCCAUCCAGAGUUGGAUUUGAUUGUCUGCCCAUGAUGUACAACCUAAUUCACUGAAAAAGGACAUCAGUCAUUUUUAUUACGUUUGAAUUCUGCUGGAAGGUCUCUUCCAGACUUGAGCCCCUUUAAGAAAAAUCUGGCAAGUUGAAUUGAUUCCAUUGAAGAACAAGAACAGCAACAGUAGAGCUUUUGAAGUAUCCAGAUUGAAGACUCCAACAAUCUUACACGGGCAAGAGAUGGCACUCUCUUUUCAUAAUUGGUAUCUUAGGAAGAAAUAGACCACUUGAAGAACCAUCUGACAGAAGAAUCCCGAUGAGUAUUCUCACCUCCUUUAAUAAUGAUGAUGAUAAGGAUUAGGAAUCCUCUAACACAAGAUCACUCUACAAAAUCUGAGCAGUUCUACAGGACUCUUGGAGAAAGUCUUCAUACAAAACAUUUUUCCUUUAUUUUUGUCCAAAGUUUUAUUGUAUCUUGUAUCAAGUGUUAUCCUUUGUUCCUUGCAAUUUCACAAGCUUUGUUUUUUGUACUUUGCUUGGCUAUAAAAGCUUGACUAUUUGCUUUAAUCUACUGCAGUGACC
Cygnus atratus (black swan) is the source of this 642-nucleotide long non-coding RNA. RefSeq lists it as uncharacterized. The transcript has 3 exons. The record is from RefSeq and is a predicted model, not a curated record. NCBI's taxonomy places the organism in Eukaryota, Metazoa, Chordata, Aves, Anseriformes, Anatidae.